Homo sapiens (human) is the source of this 1100-nucleotide long non-coding RNA. The record is from Ensembl. Lineage: Eukaryota; Metazoa; Chordata; Mammalia; Primates; Hominidae.
GGCACCUAUCCACAGCCUGAACCUUGGAGAACACCUCCCUUUCAUAUGACUUCUGCAAAGGGCGUGUUUCAGCUCACAGGGACAAAGAGUCACUGCACCAGAGAACCAGAAAGAGAUGUUUCAGGAAACUGCCGCAACUUUGUAGAGCACAGUUUGAAAGCUACUGCUGAAGAAAUAUGUCACCUUGAAGGCUUUUUAAACACGGGAUUUGCAAGAUAGGGUUUGCAUUUUAGAAACAUUAUUCUGCUUGCUACACUACUGAGUUUGGAUGAGGGAGACUUGAAGGCAAGGGAGCUCUGUUAUGAAAUAACUACACUUUUCUUAUAGAAGAAGACUAUAAUAGACUGUAUCAAAAAUGUCUACGUUCCAUAGCAUUGGUGGAACCAUGCAUUACGUCUGAGGACAAGGACGGGAACCUUCUGUGGCGUGCUGUCAACAGCUUUAAAUAGGCAUUGAGUUUGAAGAUAGAGCACAUGAAGGGCAUGUUACAGCAGAGCUGAAGGGAGAACAGUUGAUGGGGUUUGGUGAUCAACUGAUUUGGAGAGUAAAGCAAUGAGAAGAAUGACAUUCAUGAUUUGUUACAGACACGGCUCACAGGCUUAAGCGUCUUGCUGUAGGUCAUACGGCAGGUUAAUGACAACACUGGGGCAAGAACACAGGUUACGCUCGUCCUGGGGAAGGCUCCCACACCAAGCUACACACUUCUGCAAUGCUGUUCCAGAUGUGAAAAUCCGCUAAGACAAAUAGGUCACAAAAACACCAUGGGAAACGAUGAUGUCUUUUCCUUUUUGUUAUCUUGAUAAAGCUUCAUACAUGAAUGAUAAAAUGGAAAUUUCAGUUGAGGAACUAAUAAAUCAACAGAUGUCUUACUCCACAACGAGGUGCAAGAUCUUGAGGCUGGAUUUAGAAAGAGGAAGAGAAGACCAAUUGCACAGCUCAUCACCCCUCACCCAUCUGAUGAUAUGAAAGGUUUGAAGGAAGCCAGAGCUGGAGCAAGAUUUUCCUCAGAUGAGUUUUGAUGAACUACAAAGAAUGAAGAUGCUCUCCCUUGUCAUCCCCAGUCAAAGAAAAGGCACUUUAAAGAAAUCACUCACGAGCCA